RNAcentral lists this ribosomal RNA (231 nucleotides) under uncultured bacterium. RNAcentral describes it as "partial 16S ribosomal RNA". It matches the Rfam family "Bacterial small subunit ribosomal RNA", at positions 99 to 334 of the family's 1533-position model. The record is from RNAcentral.
CGGACGAGUGAGUAAUGUCUGGGAAACUGCCCGAUGGAGGGGGAUAACUACUGGAAACGGUAGCUAAUACCGCAUAACGUCGCAAGACCAAAGAGGGGACCUUCGGGCCUCUUGCCAUCGGAUGUGCCCAGAUGGGAUUAGCUAGUAGGUGGGGUAACGGCUCACCUAGGCGACGAUCCCUAGCUGGUCUGAGAGGAUGACCAGCCACACUGGAACUGAGACACGGUCCAG